RNAcentral lists this long non-coding RNA (603 nucleotides) under Zonotrichia albicollis (white-throated sparrow). RNAcentral describes it as "lncRNA (ENSZALG00000000793.1)". Lineage: Eukaryota; Metazoa; Chordata; Aves; Passeriformes; Passerellidae. The record is from RNAcentral.
GAGGCUUGAGGUACUGCUUUUCCUUGAAAUGGGAACACAGGAGAAAUGCAACAGAUUUUUUUUUUGUAACAGGAGGUUAAAACCCAAACUUUACUGGCAAGAUUUAGGAGAUCAGAAAUUUGGAAGACUUAAGGCAAAACAUUCAACGAACCCUAAUCAUUUCACUGAGCGCAUAAACUUAGCAAAUUCUACCCUUCCAAUUUAAAAUUACCAUACUUCAAGGAGAAGAAACUAGGAAUGGAAGGAAUGGAAGGAAUGGAAGGAAUGGAAGGAAUGGAAGGAAUGGAAGGAAGGAAGUGGCGGAAGGAAGGAAGGAAGUGGCGGAAGGAAGUGGCGGAAGGAAGUGGCGGAAGGAAGUGGCGGAAGGAAGUGGCGGAAGGAAGUGGCGGAAGGAAGUGGCGGAAGGAAGUGGCGGAAGGAAGGAAGGAAGGAAGGAAGAGGCGGAAGGAAGUGGCGGAAGGAAGGGGCGGAAGGGGCGGAAGGGGCGGAAGGAAGGAAGGAAGGAAGGAAGGAAGGAAGCUUUUUCACCAUCAGUUUGGAGAAGACACAAAUAAUUACAACUUAGGCAAAGUUAGAACAAAACCAGAGUCUUCCCACCAAUGA